This 253-nucleotide ribosomal RNA is filed under the name uncultured bacterium. RNAcentral's name for it is "partial 16S ribosomal RNA". It matches the Rfam family "Bacterial small subunit ribosomal RNA", at positions 524 to 776 of the family's 1533-position model. The record is from RNAcentral.
UACGGGGGGGGCAAGCGUUGUUCGGAAUUACUGGGCGUAAAGGGCUCGUAGGCGGCCAACUAAGUCAGACGUGAAAUCCCUCGGCUUAACCGGGGAACUGCGUCUGAUACUGGAUGGCUAGAGGUUGGGAGAGGGAUGCGGAAUUCCAGGUGUAGCGGUGAAAUGCGUAGAUAUCUGGAGGAAUACCGGUGGCGAAGGCGGUAUCCUGGACCGGCAUUGACGCUGAGGCGCGAAAGCCAGGGGAGCAAACGGG